This 253-nucleotide ribosomal RNA is filed under the name uncultured bacterium. RNAcentral's name for it is "partial 16S ribosomal RNA". It matches the Rfam family "Bacterial small subunit ribosomal RNA", at positions 524 to 776 of the family's 1533-position model. The record is from RNAcentral.
UACGUAGGGGGCAAGCGUUAUCCGGAUUUACUGGGUGUAAAGGGAGCGUAGACGGCCAGACAAGUCUGAAGUGAAAAUCCAGCGCUUAACGCUGGAAGUGCUUUGGAAACUGCCGGGCUGGAGUGCAGGAGGGGCAGGCGGAAUUCCUAGUGUAGCGGUGAAAUGCGUAGAUAUUAGGAGGAACACCAGUGGCGAAGGCGGCCUGCUGGACAGCGACUGACGUUGAGGCCCGAAAGCGUGGGGAGCAAACAGG